CGCAUGUGCCAAUAUUUGCAGCAUAAUCCAAGACUGCCAACUUAACCUAAAAAAAAGACACUUUUUGCCAGACAUUACUUGUUUUUUAUUUUUUAUGACAUAUUUAUCCGAUCAAUAAUACUUGUUUAGCUCAACAGUCUCAGAUACUGAAGUAGUAAGAACUCGAUGAUCACUUGAGUUUGAAGACCAUGAGCCACGGUGAUGACGUAGAACAUCCGACCAUCAGCUGUAACGGGACUCUAUAAAAAAAGUCUUUACUUUAUAUCGCUCUGGAAUAACGCAGUUACAAUCCAAGUUACCGUACAAGGUAUCGUCUUCUCGGUGAAGAAAAUACUCCGAGAAUGAAGAUUGAAAUUGUAUGGAGAAUAUAGAAGUAAAUAUAAUAGAAGAGAAUGAAUGAAAAAAAAAAUUGAGGAUAAAGCAGUAGUAUUACGUUAAAUAAUAAUCAGAGUCAAAGGUUACGGCGAUAAAAACAUGUGGGAAUUCGCUGGAGGUUUUAAAACUCUUAUUUUUAAACUGGACCCUGCACUGCCGGUUUUAAAGGCUGGACAU
Long non-coding RNA from Cotesia glomerata, 552 nucleotides. RefSeq lists it as uncharacterized. The transcript is spliced from 5 exons. The record is from RefSeq and is a predicted model, not a curated record. Lineage: Eukaryota; Metazoa; Arthropoda; Insecta; Hymenoptera; Braconidae.